This 424-nucleotide ribosomal RNA is filed under the name Verrucomicrobiota bacterium. RNAcentral describes it as "Verrucomicrobia bacterium partial 16S ribosomal RNA". It matches the Rfam family "Bacterial small subunit ribosomal RNA", at positions 355 to 776 of the family's 1533-position model. Lineage: Bacteria; Pseudomonadati; Verrucomicrobiota. The record is from RNAcentral.
UGAGGAAUAUUGGUCAAUGGACGCAAGUCUGAACCAGCCAAGUAGCGUGCAGGAUGACGGCCUUAUGUUUUGUAAACUGUUUUUAUAUGGGGAUAAAGUGGGGAACGUGUUCCCUUUUGCAGGUACCAUAUGAAUAAGGACCGGCUAAUUCCGUGCCAGCAGCAGCGGUAAUACGGAAGGUUCGGGCGUUAUCCGGAUUUAUUGGGUUUAAAGGGAGCGUAGGCCGUUUGGUAAGCGUGUUGUGAAAUGUAGGAGCUCAACUUCUAGAUUGCAGCGCGAACUGUCAGACUUGAGUGCGCACAACGUAGGCGGAAUUCAUGGUGUAGCGGUGAAAUGCUUAGAUAUCAUGAAGAACUCCGAUUGCGAAGGCAGCUUACGGGAGCGCAACUGACGCUGAAGCUCGAAGGUGCGGGUAUCGAACAGG